Molecule: transfer RNA, 75 nt
Filed under: Patescibacteria group bacterium
Lineage: Bacteria
Also listed under: 1 other name
Description: tRNA-Met
Rfam family: tRNA
About the family: Transfer RNA (tRNA) molecules are approximately 80 nucleotides in length. Their secondary structure includes four short double-helical elements and three loops (D, anti-codon, and T loops).
Source: RNAcentral
GGCGGCGUAGCUCAGUGGUAGAGCGAAGGACUCAUAAGCCUUAUGUCGGGGGUUCGAAUCCCUCCGCCGCUACCA